GACGACCGCUGGCGGCGUGCUUAACACAUGCAAGUCGAACGGAAAGGCCCUGCUUUUGUGGGGUGCUCGAGUGGCGAACGGGUGAGUAACACGUGAGUAACCUGCCCUUGACUUUGGGAUAACUUCAGGAAACUGGGGCUAAUACCGGAUAGGAGCUCCUGCUGCAUGGUGGGGGUCGGAAAGUUUCGGCGGUUGGGGAUGGACUCGCGGCUUAUCAGCUUGUUGGUGGGGUAGUGGCUUACCAAGGCUUUGACGGGUAGCCGGCCUGAGAGGGUGACCGGCCACAUUGGGACUGAGAUACGGCCCAGACUCCUACGGGAGGCAGCAGUGGGGAAUAUUGCACAAUGGGCGGAAGCCUGAUGCAGCAACGCCGCGUGCGGGAUGACGGCCUUCGGGUUGUAAACCGCUUUCGCCUGUGACGAAGCGUGAGUGACGGUAAUGGGUAAAGAAGCACCGGCUAACUACGUG
Molecule: ribosomal RNA, 468 nt
Filed under: uncultured bacterium
Lineage: Bacteria
Description: partial 16S ribosomal RNA
Rfam family: Bacterial small subunit ribosomal RNA
Source: RNAcentral